RNAcentral lists this transfer RNA (70 nucleotides) under Oreolalax rhodostigmatus (red-spotted toothed toad). RNAcentral's name for it is "tRNA-Thr". It matches the Rfam family "tRNA". From Rfam's summary of the family: Transfer RNA (tRNA) molecules are approximately 80 nucleotides in length. Their secondary structure includes four short double-helical elements and three loops (D, anti-codon, and T loops). Further hydrogen bonds mediate the characteristic L-shaped molecular structure. tRNAs have two regions of fundamental functional importance: the anti-codon, which is responsible for specific mRNA codon recognition, and the 3' end, to which the tRNAs corresponding amino acid is attached (by aminoacyl-tRNA synthetases). tRNAs cope with the degeneracy of the genetic code in two manners: having more than one tRNA (with a specific anti-codon) for a particular amino acid; and 'wobble' base-pairing, i.e. permitting non-standard base-pairing at the 3rd anti-codon position. The record is from RNAcentral. Lineage: Eukaryota; Metazoa; Chordata; Amphibia; Anura; Megophryidae.
GCCCCAGUAGCUUAAUGAAAGCGUCGGUUUUGUAAGCCAAAGAGUGGGAGUUUAAUCCUCCCCUGUGACA